GACGAACGCUGGCGGCGUGCUUAACACAUGCAAGUCGAGCGGAAAGGCCCUUCGGGGUACUCGAGCGGCGAACGGGUGAGUAACACGUGGGUAACCUGCCCUUCACUCUGGGAUAACUCCGGGAAACCGGGGCUAAUACCGGAUACGACCACUUUAGGCACCUUCGGUGGUGGAAAGUUUUUCGGUGGAGGAUGGACCCGCGGCCUAUCAGCUUGUUGGUGGGGUAAUGGCCUACCAAGGCAGUGACGGGUAGCCGGCCUGAGAGGGCGACCGGCCACACUGGGACUGAGACACGGCCCAGACUCCUACGGGGGGCAGCAGUGGGGAAUAUUGCGCAAUGGGCGGAAGCCUGACGCAGCGACGCCGCGUGAGGGAUGACGGCCUGG
Molecule: ribosomal RNA, 386 nt
Filed under: uncultured bacterium
Lineage: Bacteria
Description: bacterial SSU rRNA
Rfam family: Bacterial small subunit ribosomal RNA
Source: RNAcentral